This 108-nucleotide small nuclear RNA is filed under the name Ovis aries (sheep). The record is from RNAcentral. Lineage: Eukaryota; Metazoa; Chordata; Mammalia; Artiodactyla; Bovidae.
GUGCUUGCCUUGGGGAGCACAUGCACUAAAAUUGGAAUGAUCCAGAGAAGAUCAGCAUGGCCCCUGUGCAAGGGUGACACGCAAAUUCAUGCAGUGCUCUGGAUUAAC